GGAGAUGUGGCUCAGAGGUUAAGAGCACUGACUGUUCUUCCAGAGGUCCUGAGUUCAAUUCCCAGCAACCACA
This is a transfer RNA of Neotoma lepida (desert woodrat), 73 nucleotides long. It matches the Rfam family "tRNA". From Rfam's summary of the family: Transfer RNA (tRNA) molecules are approximately 80 nucleotides in length. Their secondary structure includes four short double-helical elements and three loops (D, anti-codon, and T loops). Further hydrogen bonds mediate the characteristic L-shaped molecular structure. tRNAs have two regions of fundamental functional importance: the anti-codon, which is responsible for specific mRNA codon recognition, and the 3' end, to which the tRNAs corresponding amino acid is attached (by aminoacyl-tRNA synthetases). tRNAs cope with the degeneracy of the genetic code in two manners: having more than one tRNA (with a specific anti-codon) for a particular amino acid; and 'wobble' base-pairing, i.e. permitting non-standard base-pairing at the 3rd anti-codon position. The record is from Rfam. NCBI's taxonomy places the organism in Eukaryota, Metazoa, Chordata, Mammalia, Rodentia, Cricetidae.